RNAcentral lists this ribosomal RNA (1164 nucleotides) under Macrochaete lichenoides SAG 32.92. RNAcentral's name for it is "bacterial SSU rRNA". It matches the Rfam family "Bacterial small subunit ribosomal RNA", at positions 353 to 1531 of the family's 1533-position model. RNAcentral also lists the same sequence under 1 other name. The record is from RNAcentral. Lineage: Bacteria; Bacillati; Cyanobacteriota; Cyanophyceae; Nostocales; Calotrichaceae.
AGUGGGGAAUUUUCCGCAAUGGGCGAAAGCCUGACGGAGCAAUACCGCGUGAGGGAGGAAGGCUCUUGGGUUGUAAACCUCUUUUCUCAGGGAAGAAUAAAUGACGGUACCUGAGGAAUAAGCAUCGGCUAACUCCGUGCCAGCAGCCGCGGUAAUACGGAGGAUGCAAGCGUUAUCCGGAAUGAUUGGGCGUAAAGCGUCCGCAGGUGGUUUUGUGUGUCUGCUGUUAAAGCGUGCGGCUUAACCGCAUAAGGGCGGUGGAAACUACAAGACUAGAGUACGUUCGGGGCAGAGGGAAUUCCCAGUGUAGCGGUGAAAUGCGUAGAGAUUGGGAAGAACAUCGGUGGCGAAAGCGCUCUGCUAGGCCUGUACUGACACUGAGGGACGAAAGCUAGGGGAGCGAAUGGGAUUAGAUACCCCAGUAGUCCUAGCCGUAAACGAUGGAUACUAGGCGUUGUCUGUAUCGACCCGGACAGUGCCGUAGCUAACGCGUUAAGUAUCCCGCCUGGGGAGUACGCAGGCAACUGUGAAACUCAAAGGAAUUGACGGGGGCCCGCACAAGCGGUGGAGUAUGUGGUUUAAUUCGAUGCAACGCGAAGAACCUUACCAAGACUUGACAUGUCGCGAAUUUCUGGGAAACUAGAAAGUGCCUUCGGGAGCGCGAACACAGGUGGUGCAUGGCUGUCGUCAGCUCGUGUCGUGAGAUGUUGGGUUAAGUCCCGCAACGAGCGCAACCCUCGUAUUUAGUUGCCAGCAUUAAGUUGGGCACUCUAGAGAGACUGCCGGUGACAAACCGGAGGAAGGUGGGGAUGACGUCAAGUCAGCAUGCCCCUUACGUCUUGGGCUACACACGUACUACAAUGCUACGAACAAAGGGCAGCUACACAGCGAUGUGAUGCAAAUCUCAUAAAUCGUGGCUCAGUUCAGAUCGCAGGCUGCAACUCGCCUGCGUGAAGUCGGAAUCGCUAGUAAUUGCAGGUCAGCAUACUGCAGUGAAUUCGUUCCCGGGCCUUGUACACACCGCCCGUCACACCAUGGAAGCUGGUUACGCCCGAAGUCGUUACCCUAACCGCUUGCGGAGGGGGAUGCCGAAGGUAGAACUGGUGACUGGGGUGAAGUCGUAACAAGGUAGCCGUACCGGAAGGUGUGGCUGGAUCACCUCCU